Molecule: ribosomal RNA, 253 nt
Filed under: uncultured bacterium
Lineage: Bacteria
Description: partial 16S ribosomal RNA
Rfam family: Bacterial small subunit ribosomal RNA
Source: RNAcentral
UACGAAGGGGGCUAGCGUUGUUCGGAAUUACUGGGCGUAAAGCGUGCGCAGGCGGCCAUCCAAGUCAGUGGUGAAAGCCCGGAGCUCAACUCCGGAAUUGCCAUUGAAACUGUUUGGCUUGAGGACGAGAGAGGUGAGUGGAAUUCCCAGUGUAGAGGUGAAAUGCGUAGAGAUGUGGAGGAACACCGAUGGCGAAGGCGGCAUCCUGGCCCUGUCCUGACGCUCAGGGGCGAAAGCGUGGGGAGCAAACCGG